Molecule: ribosomal RNA, 397 nt
Filed under: uncultured bacterium
Lineage: Bacteria
Description: partial 16S ribosomal RNA
Rfam family: Bacterial small subunit ribosomal RNA
Source: RNAcentral
AUACGUAGGGGGCGAGCGUUGUCCGGAAUGAUUGGGCGUAAAGGGCGCGUAGGCGGCCCGGUAAGUCUGGAGUGAAAGUCCUGUUUUUAAGAUGGGAAUUGCUUUGGAUACUGUCGGGCUUGAGUGCAGGAGAGGUAAGUGGAAUUUCCAGUGUAGCGGUGAAAUGCGUAGAGAUUGGGAGGAACACCAGUGGCGAAGGCGACUUACUGGACUGUAACUGACGCUGAGGCGCGAAAGUGUGGGGAGCAAACAGGAUUAGAUACCCUGGUAGUCCACACUGUAAACGAUGAAUGCUAGGUGUAGGGGGUAUCGACCCCUUCUGUGCCGCAGUCAACACAAUAAGCAUUCCGCCUGGGGAGUACGGCCGCAAGGUUGAAACUUAAAGGAAUUGACGGGG